This is a long non-coding RNA of Apis cerana (Asiatic honeybee), 6189 nucleotides long. RefSeq lists it as uncharacterized. The record is from RefSeq and is a predicted model, not a curated record. NCBI's taxonomy places the organism in Eukaryota, Metazoa, Arthropoda, Insecta, Hymenoptera, Apidae.
GGUUGAUCUUGUUUGAUCUCGAAAUGGAGAUAAGUCGGUUAGGAGGAUUGGAUCCGUUGAUAGAAGUCGUGGAUUUCGUGCGUGAGACGAGAGUUUGGAAAAAGAUACGAAGUAUUUAAACUAAAUGGAAAUUUUGUCAGAGAUAUUAUCCUUCGACGUAUAAAUAUGAAUAUAAAUUCUUUCUAAUUUUUAUUCCAAACAUUUUGAAAUGAUAUUAAGUCUUCGACUAAUCUUCUUUCAAUGUUUCAAAACAAAUUUCGCGAUAAAAAGAAUUAUUUAGUUUCGAUAAUCGGAAGAGUUCGAAACUUUUUCUCGUAUUCGAUAUAGUAAUUCGUGAAAAUAAUCUCUAUUUCGAGGAUGCAAGGUUCAACAUUUCAUCAAAAACUACAAACUUCUUCUCGAAUACUUCUUUCAAACUUUUCCUUGGCGCACGUCCGAUCGAAAGAAAGAAGAAGCAUCGUCCCAGAAACUUUCGAGUGUUGUAAAAAUUUUACCCACCCCCUUCGGUAUCGAGUGGAAAAUGGACCUGGACCUUUUUGGAUUUCUUUUGGACUUCUUGUGGAUUUUUUUCGAGAAUAUUUUAUAUGUUUCAAGUGAAGAUUAUGUAGUAUUCUGAUUGCGAGUGAUUUUAGACGCAUUGAUUGUUAUGUAUUUUAAUAAGAAGGUACAAAAUUUUAUAGAAUAUUCUUUUUAUAUACGAAGACGACUGAUUAUUGAAUUAAACAGAGAAAAAUAUAUUAUUAGGAAAAAUAUAAUCAUUGCAAUUAAUUUUUUGUUUUUGCUAUUAUUUUUCAAAUUUUUUUUUAUUGUAUCUUUAUUUCUCAAGACAGUGUUUCUUGUGAUUAUAAAUGAGAAGGUAGUAUAUUUGUAGUAUCAUAAAAGUACCCAGCUUAGAACAGUACCUUCAAAUGACUAUAAAACAGGAUCUCGUAACUUUACAUUUACGAUCCUCGGAAUUAAAAUGCAGUAUCAUCCUCUUUUACCACAAAGUUACAUCGUUUAAAAUUUUGAAAUUAUGCUUCUAUAAAGAAUUAGUAAAUUGUUAAUUCGUUUUUUCAAAGAAUUGACUUUUAUGAUAUUUAUAAAUCGAAAGUAUAUAGAUACUUUUACAGUAUUAUUGAUACUUUUGUAUCGAUUAUUACUUAAUAAUAUAAAUUAAUUAAUAAUAAUAAAAAAAGAACUAUAUAUUGGUUAUCAUAUAAACACGGAAAGGAUUAAUAAUGAUCCCCAUAAAAAAAAAUAACAAUCAAUGCGUCGAAACUGAAUUAUCUCGCUUCGAUAUCAAAAUACUCGAGAAAAAAAAAUAAGAAAAAGGACAAAAACAAGAAAAGAAAAAAAAAAGAAAACAAUGGAAGAAACGAUGAAAUAAAGACAGCAUGAAAACGUCCCGAUUCACGCUCCCAUCCUGCGUUCCUGUUUCUCAUCUCCAUUCCUUUUCUCAUUUUCAUUCAAACAUUAAUUUCAUUCACCAGAACUGCGAAGACACGGCCCAGAGUAAGUACGUGCUACGUUAUUGGCCAAUAUCGGGCAGACACGAGGUUCGAGCCGUUCUCGACUAGGCACGACCCCCAUUAACCGCGCCAUAAACAGAUAAUCGCAAAUUUCCCGACGAUACCGCUCGCCCAAUCAGAUAAACCCGACCAGCCGAGAUAUGGAAUUAUUGUCUAUGCGUUUCUCGCUUCGUUCGCACACGAGGCUACGUAGCUGUGAAUUAGCGACAGAUUUUAAGACAGGGACACGAAAUAUCAAGAUGUUGUUCGUAAUUAUUCGAAGUUUUCUAUUUUACUGUCCUUCUCAAUUAAAAUCUUUUAUCUAAUUUUUCUUCAUUUUUCAAAAAUAUAUUCGAAACUUCAAAGUUCCAUAUAUCUCUUGUUUUUUGAAGAUAGACAAUUCCCAUGCAAGAGAGAUUUGGAAGAAGUUCAACUUAUUUAUCGUAUGAAAGGAUGUUUUGAAGAAAGCUGAUAAAACUUUACAAUAUAUAUAUAUAUUAUAAAUAAUUGAUAAUUAUGAUGCAAAUAAAUCGUCUUCCGUUAAAGAAUUCAUAUUACCAUGUCAAAAUAACUCUUCGAUUAAUUACGAACAUAUGCUCAAAUCAAAACAUCUUAUCAUCUCCCGAUCAAAUAAUAAAACUUCGUUCUUCCAAACGAACAUCAGACGCUUCUAAAAUCUCUACAAGUUCUACAAGUAUUAAAAAGUGUGUCUACGUCGUUUUUCAAAAACAGUCCCGCCUUCAUUUCGAACACUCAUCUCAAACGACAUGAAACGAUCGGACCCCGCGCACGGAAUGCAUGGAAUAAAAUUUCCGCGAUUAUUACGUGUUCGGAAGUCGGUUUUAUGUGAUCCGAAACGCGGCUCGUUCCUGCUCUUUGUUUGCGCUCGCCAAGGGUGAGAAAGAGGAGCACUCCGUUAAUCAUUAUCCAAGGGGGUAAGUCGAGAGGCGAAGGAAGCCUCCUUUGAGGCCGGACCACGGUUGCUCUGCCCGGAAUUCCAGGGCCUCGGAUUACAAUUUGGCGAGUCCAGGGCGAAGGGAGAGUAAAAUGGCCGCCGGCGGUAGGGUAGUUUUGCCGGUCGUGGGGUGGCUACGAGGGUGGCUAACUGGGUGGCCGACAAGGACUGGAAGGAGUAGGAAGAGAAGCCGAGCGGAGGUCGGUAAAGGGGAUAGCGGUGGCUGAGGACUGGGGCAAAGGGGGGAGUUCUGAUGCUAGCCACAACCCCUUAAGGGUCGAACGAACCCUUGCACUACCACACGAAGUCCAAGAAUUCUCCAUCUCUCUCUCUCUCUCUCCCCCUCUCUCCCUCUCUUUCUCUUUCUCUCUCUAUAACCAUUUCAUAUCCUCUUCCAUAUCCUGUACUUGGCUUUCCCUCUCCCUCCCUCUCUCUCUCUUUCUCUCUCGUAGCUUCUAUAUCCCUUGAACACACGAGUAACCGAGGUAGGUAGGUAGGUAGGUAGGUAGGUAGAUGGUACGUGGUUGUGAUGGUAGGUAUAGUGGCUGUAGAUAUAAAGGUUGUUCAACGAGGAGGAAGGGUGAGCGGGGGAUGAGAACGAGACGGACAGAGGGUGGAAGAGGGACGACGAUGGCAACAGAGAAGCAUUGGAAACAGGAGGAGAACGGAAAGAGAGGAAGACACAGAUGUGGAGAAACUGAAAGAGAGAGAGAGAGAGAGGGAUUGAGGGUGAGUCGAGGAGAGUCGAAGCGAGACGAACGAACGUGCCAGUUACCAAUAGACAAAGAUGGAAUCGGAAAAGGGACAAACAGAAACUGGCCAGAGUUGGAAAGAGAGAAGAAGAGGUAGAUGGAGGAGUGGGGGAGGGAAUACAUAGGAGAGAAACACGAAGCAGCACACGGACGAGAGGAGAGUGAGAGCUGGCGGUGAAUGAGGGACCAGGGGGUGGAAGAGGAUGGGCGCGCACGGGCAAGGGUGGAAUUUUAGAGUCGGGGCUAGCCUUAAAAUACACGCCGUGCGAAAUACCGGGCGUGAAUUAGAGUCCAGGCGUAUAUACACGAGUGCGGCGAGCGAACGAACGAAACCUUUGGAAUUUUCCCUAGCCGCAAACUCGGUUCUCUCUCCCUCGUUUCCACUUGUAUCCGAGAAUCUUUGGAUGGACGGUUGCAUCCAACAACAAGAAUUCCCGAGGACACGGGAAUCGUUGAUUGUAAGACAUUCCACGUGCUGCAAUGAUUAUUGUAGCCAGGGAUUCGUAUUUGCUGGACUUUGUAGAUUACUUUGCUGGAGGAUUGUUGGUAUGAGACUCGAUUAUGAAUUUGUUAGGAACAAGGGAUACUGUGGUAGUUUCUAAUUUAGUUGGAUUGUCAUUAUUUGAUAUAGGUAUUAUCAUCGACUUGCAAUUGCAGUUUGGAAUUAAAUUAUUAGGAAAUAUUUCUGUAGAAACGGUGAUAUCGAAAAUUUUGGUACAAGAAUUGAAAUUAAAUCGAUUUAUUUAUGAAUUGCAUCGUCUUUGUUGAUCGUAGUUAUUAGUUAAACUCAAUUAUUUUACAUUCGGUAGAUUUUGUGUUAGAAAUAUUUUCAAAUUUUCAAUCAGUCUACAUAAUAUCAAGAAAUUGAAUAACGUCAUUCUUCGAGGAGGGAAAAUUUUCAAAUUGUCGAUCAGAACGAAUAAUAAGGAUAGAAUCAGGAAAACUUUAAUUCUUUAAAUUUUAACCUUUUCAAAAAACAUUUUCAGAAUGGCAAUGUAGAAAUUUUUAGAUUCAGAAAAGUGAAAUUUCUCGUAAUUUUCUUUUUUUUAUUCUAAUUGAGAAUUUUUUGAUUUGUUUCGCCAUUAGUCGCGUCCACGAAUAAGCGAGCGUAACUGAAAGUGGAAAGUAAAGGAACUCCAGAGGAAAAUGCAAAUGCGUGCCUUGAAACGAUAAACUUGGAGAAAAAGUUAAGAGUAAUUGUUCUCCGCGAUGCUACAAACAUCGAUUAAUGAAUUUUAAAAUGAAAUUUUGUUUAUACUUUAAAUCAUAUAAAUAGAGAAAUAUAAUAUUUAGAUAAAAAUUUAGAUAAAAAGAGUAAAAUAUAAAAAUAAUAAGAUAUACAACUAUAUCAAUCAAAAACAAAAUAUAAAAUAAUCUUAAUUAAAUUAUCUCAAAUAAAUAUUCUUUAUAGUUGUUUAAAAUCGAACGAAUCUCGUAGGAAAAUUAUUCUUUAUAAAUUUUAAAUCCUUAUUUCUAUUGUAUGAAUUACAUAAUUAUUUACACAUGAGGAUGACAUAGGAAAGAUUUAUUUAAAUUAUACAAACUCGUAUUUUAAAAACAAAAGUUUAAUUUUGCAAUCACGAUUAUCAAAAAUUUCCAAAAAUUAUAAUUCGAAAUAUCCAAUCUACUUUCUCUUUACAUCAUUCUCACUCACAAUUAACAAAUCACUUAUCAUUCAUCAUUCCAACGCAAACGUUCAACGAUAUCUAUCCCUUACUAUCUAUCCCUACUUUCCCUUAUUCUUGGUUCUCUCAUACGUUCAAAAAAUCAAAUUAAAAAAAAAAAAGACAUAUAUUUCUCAUACCUGUAAAAAUUUCGCUCAUCAUAUCGCCUCGUCUAAUUUCACUCGCGCGCGAUCGACGAAAUCGGAUCUCGAUGUAGCCGGAAUCUCUCGAGUGUAUUUUUCUUUUUUUUUUUUUUUUUUUUAUCGUGUUUCGACGCGAAUCGGCGACGAUACCGCACGGAUUUAACUAAUAAGAGCAAUUAGCGUCGGGGGUAGUAACUAGAGGUGGUUUGCCCGCCAUGGCAUGUCUCUCGCCUGGCGGUCGCCUCGGUCAAUACCCACCGGACAAGAUGGCCGACGCCCACUCCAACACAAACUCAAAGUUACAUACAUUUAUGUACUCAAAUGUAUAACCCACCCCCUCCGGACGGAGUUGCCUUUCUCCUUCCGCCGGCUUCAACCCUCCCGGCCUCGCCAUCCACUCGGCUACACGGACACCAAACUUCAUCAUUAUUAUCUCGGUGGCCCGGUAUCCACCCUUACCCCUGUGAAAUGCGUGAAUUUUGCAAAAGAGACUUGGACUUAUCAUGAGACGAUACACGGGGGAGGGGAAGCCUGUGUCUUGAAAAUUAAACGAUUGACGUUCGAUCGACUCACGGUUCGUGUUAGAAGAUUCGAGAUUGGAUUUUUAGGAUAUGCAUAAUUUAUAGUUUUGUUUUUGUUGAUGGGGGAAAUUGUUGAGUUUGGAAAUAUUAUUGAUUGGUUGGAGAAAGGUUUGUAUUUAAUUUUUAUUUCGCUAGGUGAAUAAUAGUUUUUUAAAAAGUUAAAGAGAGAGAAAUAAAGGAUGAAGAUUGAAGAUGAAAUAAAAAUAGAUUUUUUGUAUUAGAUUUUUUAGUUAAAAAUAAUUUUUUGAUUAAAAUAUCGAAAUCAAAUCAAAUUGGACAAAUAAGAUAUUUUCUAAGAAUUUAUGUUAUUAAAACGAGAAGAUCUUUUAAUUCCAACAGUAAAUUUUUAAUUUAACGGUUGCUAAAAUAGCUUUUCUUGGUAUCUUUUUGGAAAUAUUUAUAUUUUUUAUUUAAAAUCUGUACAGAUUUAUUGAAAAACGAUUGAAUUCGUAAAAUAAUUGAAAUAAAUUGACCUGUUAUUGGAAAUAGAAGUUUGUAACCAACGAAGAUUACGAACCUGAGGACCUCUUCGAAAUACAUGUAUAGGAAAAACUGUUUCUAUUAUUUAUAAUAUUAAUUCGACAGACAAAACCAAUAAAUUGAG